CCCUAGCCCCGAUAGAAACGGCAUCCUUUUUUGUCAUUGCGGUGGCGAAAAGUUUAACUUAUUAUCUCAGUUGUCCGCAAUGACAAAAAAGAUACAGUGGAUAGCGGGAUUAGCU
RNAcentral lists this small RNA (115 nucleotides) under Chryseobacterium sp. Leaf394. Its description in RNAcentral is "Flavo-1 RNA". It matches the Rfam family "Flavo-1 RNA". The record is from Rfam by way of RNAcentral. Lineage: Bacteria; Pseudomonadati; Bacteroidota; Flavobacteriia; Flavobacteriales; Weeksellaceae.